This is a long non-coding RNA of Dipodomys ordii (Ord's kangaroo rat), 1549 nucleotides long. RefSeq lists it as uncharacterized. The record is from RefSeq and is a predicted model, not a curated record. Lineage: Eukaryota; Metazoa; Chordata; Mammalia; Rodentia; Heteromyidae. The transcript has 2 exons.
CGAUUGCUGUGCCUGGCCUGUGGGAUGCGUGGCAGCAGCUCUGAGGUGUGCAGGGGUGAGCCUCCGUGCCAGCUUUGCUCUGGAGUCUAGCAGUGGAGAAAACUAGGACUGUGUUUGCUGACUUUUCCUCCCACACCAAGGUUACCUUGCAGAUUCCCUGUUCUGCCCCCAGUGAUUACGAUGUUGAAGAGCCUUUGGCAUAGAGAGGAGUCUGAGGCCUGACAGUGAGAUUUCCCUGACAGUGGAGGCGUCCCGUCUGGCGGUCGGGCUGGGUCUUGGUGGUAGAGCAUGCGCCUAACUUGGCCAAGGUCUGGGUUUGAUUCCCAGGACCACAGAGUGCAUCUCCACCAGUAUUGGCAGGAAGUCUGUUGUGUGGCCCAGGGAACCAGGAGAACAGGUCCUCAUGGUGGUUGCCCCAUGGAAUCUAGGGUCCCUUGACGGAUGCAGGUACCAACCACAUCGCGAGCAGUGUGGCUGGUGGGUUAAAACUGUGAUAGACCUCAAAUGAACGUCACAGGCCCUGUCAGAUUAUCGGCAGGUGAAACAGCCUCACCACCACGUAGCUAGACGGAGAAACAGAGGCCCAGGAGGGGCGAGUGUGGUCCCAGUGGGCACUGCAGGGAUGGGCGCUGCGUCAGGGUUACAGGAGCUGUCGGGGGGGCUGUCUUCCACUCAAAGGCCCUGAGGCCAUGGCUAGCCCCUGGAACUUGGUCAGCGGAUGCCAUUGGUUGUGUGAUUGAAGGCCGUAACUGGUGCUGGGCCUUGCCACAGAAACAAGCACCCAGGACCUGGCUGUCCAUUUCCUCAUCUGCAAAACCGCAACAGGCCUAACUUCCUACCACGGCCACAGAAAAGGGCAGAUUCCACAAUGGACACAAACAGGUUGGCUUGGUAAAAUGGGUUGAAGCAGAUUUGCCCCGCGCCUGCGGUGGUGCUCUCCUGGGAGCAGUUCUGAUGGACAGUGUCUUGUUUGUUUGUUUUAGAUUUGUUCCUUAUAUUGGAAUUGUGACAAUCCUCAUGAAUGACUACCCCAAAUUCAAGUACGCAGUACUGUUUUUGCUGGGCUUAUUCGUGCUGGUCCACCGUGAGUAAGAAGCGAGCCUCGCCGUUCGUUCCGGGAAGCCGCGUGCUGUGUCCUGGCUGUCUGCAGUAGAUGUUGGUCUGUGGUUGGUGGAGAGGAGCACACGGGGUGCUUCUUGGAGCACUGUGCGCGUUAUUAGUUUAUGUUUCCACGCCAGAAUGCGUGUGGGCGGGCACGUGGGCGCCAUGCGUGCCCGCGAGGGGACGUCCAGUCAUGGGACUUCACACCUUGUCAUCGCCCCACUCACAUUUUGUACAUCCGUGGAUCUUUUUAUAUUAAACGGUUGAGCCAAAGCCCCCAGUGUUUGUAUUGCGAAGCCCAGCUUCACUUCUAAAGUGCCUCAGCGUGCUGUACACGGAAGUGCAGCUCUGCAGAGUGGACCACUGUCCCGCGGUGCCGCGCGCGUCCAUGAGGGUGGCGCCAAGUCUUAACUUUUCCAAUUUCAAAUAAAAGACUUUGCACAUUUAA